GAACUCCUCCACAGCAUCACCUGGGCUUGGCCUCUUACAGUGUCUCAGCUUCUCUUUAACAUAUCCCUCACCUUUUUUCACCUUCCUGCAGAGUGCUGACACCAUCACAGUAUGUUCCCUUUUCAACCCUGGACACGGUUCAAAAGCAGCUAAAGCAGACAAGAAUCUGGGGCAGCCAAUAUUAUACCACCUGCCAAAACUUGACACAAACAAUCUGGAAGCCAAAAAUUGCACAUACUGUGUUUUUCAAAUAUUUUUGAUCUGCUGUUGGUUGACUCCUUGGGUUAGGAACCUGUGGAUAUAGAGGGCCAACUGUACUAAGAAUCUUCAGCUCCCUCUCCUGGCAGAUCCCUGGUGAGUGAGGUGGGCCUAUGUUGAGUGCUCCUUUUGCCUGAGUGAGAGCCUAGAACCAGAGACUGCAUGCCCUAAUCCAGGGUUUCUUGACCAUGGCACCAUUGAUAGUUGGGGUCAGAUAAUGUUUUUGCUGUGGGGGCCAUCCUUGUAGGAUGUUAGCAGCAUUUCUGACCACUACCCACUAGAGGCCAAAAGUACCCUCCCUCCAGUAGUGACCUUCCCUCCAGUGUAACCAAAGUAGAUCCAGACAUUGCCAGAUGUUCCCAGAGGAAGACACCCAUGACUGAGGACCACUGGGGCCAGUUCUUUCCCCUUCCCUAAGACCAGUGCAUGAGCCUCAGCUGUUACCACUU
RNAcentral lists this long non-coding RNA (707 nucleotides) under Piliocolobus tephrosceles (Ugandan red Colobus). Its description in RNAcentral is "lncRNA (ENSPTEG00000037483.1)". Lineage: Eukaryota; Metazoa; Chordata; Mammalia; Primates; Cercopithecidae. The record is from RNAcentral.